GAGCCAUUAGCUCAGUUGGCAGAGCACCUGACUUUUAAUCAGGGUGUCGGUGGUUCGAGCCCACCAUGGCUCA
This 73-nucleotide transfer RNA is filed under the name Dethiobacter alkaliphilus AHT 1. It matches the Rfam family "tRNA". Rfam says of the family: Transfer RNA (tRNA) molecules are approximately 80 nucleotides in length. Their secondary structure includes four short double-helical elements and three loops (D, anti-codon, and T loops). Further hydrogen bonds mediate the characteristic L-shaped molecular structure. tRNAs have two regions of fundamental functional importance: the anti-codon, which is responsible for specific mRNA codon recognition, and the 3' end, to which the tRNAs corresponding amino acid is attached (by aminoacyl-tRNA synthetases). tRNAs cope with the degeneracy of the genetic code in two manners: having more than one tRNA (with a specific anti-codon) for a particular amino acid; and 'wobble' base-pairing, i.e. permitting non-standard base-pairing at the 3rd anti-codon position. Lineage: Bacteria; Bacillati; Bacillota; Dethiobacteria; Dethiobacterales; Dethiobacteraceae. The record is from Rfam by way of RNAcentral.